Molecule: long non-coding RNA, 2619 nt
Filed under: Sus scrofa (pig)
Lineage: Eukaryota; Metazoa; Chordata; Mammalia; Artiodactyla; Suidae
Description: lncRNA (ENSSSCG00005011092.1)
Source: RNAcentral
UUUUUUUUUUCUUUUUCAUCUUUUGGGUUUCCAGUCAAUCCAUGACCAAAGGUUUGACUAUUAAUCUAUGAUACAGAGGAAAUGUCCAAUUCACAAAAGCAGUGCAUUCCAAACUCUUGGGAGUUGAUUGUUUUGGGAACUGAGGAUAUUUUUCCUCCUCCUUAUAAUAAACAAUAUUACAAACGAUGGUGAGAUUUCCAGACCAGCCCCACAAAAGCUCCCUUGACUCAUAACAUUGUCGAGGCCCUGGACUUUUGCAGUGAAAACUGGUAGAAAGUAGUUUUGUUGUAAUACCAGUAAACAAACUCAAAUGUGGACACCAUCGUUUCCUUUCUCCUGAAUUCUAUUUAAUGAAACAACCCAUUUAAUGAAAGAAAGAUAAGGAGAAAGAUAAGAGACUUUUUAGGAAGUGACUCCAAUUUAUAAGAAUUUUGGGGGCUGAUAGCAGCCGUCUAUGGUUAUUUUGUCUGUUCAGUUUGGAUACCUUUUUCCUUUUCCUUCAUAAAUGCAAGACACAAAGGAGCCAAGACAGGGCAGAUUUGGGGCUUACUUAGGAAGACAGCAAAGGAUGGAGGAGGAGAAGCAAAAAGUUUGAAAGAGAGUUCCUUGCUGGGGCGAUUCGAGCACAUCAUUGGGGGGCGGGGUAGGUUGCCUAAAUCAGCCUUUACUGAUUUGCUAAGGAAACUGAGGAGAAGAUGUUAGAUCCAAGUGCCCCUGACCCUUGAGUCCCAAGAGAGGGACUAGGAGAGGCCACUAUUUAGUCAGACAGUUCCCUCUCUGGCCAUAAGGUGGCGCCAACAGCCCAGACAGUCGGUCCCGUGGGGGCGUGGCUUGCAGGGGGAGGAGCUCUCCACGUGGAAGCCACGUUUUCCACUCUGGCUCUGGAACUCACGGAAAGCCUGGACUAGACAGCAAGAAUCAACCUACAGGACACUGCCUUAUCAUCUAACACUUCCCAUCCUCUGAGGCCCCACCCUGCUAACACCAGAGCAAGAACACCUUAGUAGGCAGGCAAUCCACCAAUUACUUCCCAUUCAUCUCAUCCAUUGCCUCCUCCCUAGUGUCAGCUGGAGGCCUCUGACCUCUUCCUAACUCCAAAAGGAAUCUAGUCUAAGGGUUUUCUGGAGUUUCAUCCUUAAAUAUCAUCACGCUGAGAAAACAGGAUCUUCUCUGGGAAGCACAGAUUUGUCACAAACGCCCCCCCACCAGGCCCCAGAGGCCCUUGCCAGCUUUUUCUUCCACUUGCAUACCAAACUGGGCAACCCCUACUCCGGAUACAAAACCCAACACAUCCCGACUCCAUUCAUUCACCCCUGCCUGUCCUCUCUCCUGGGAUACCCCCAGUUACUUUCCUCUGCUUAUAAGUACCCUUUCCCCUUUCAAAAUCUAACCCCAAUUCCCUCCUCCCCUAAACCUACUCAUUGGAUCUAACUGGUGAACUGGAGUCAGAGAGGAGGACUUGGGUUCCAUGCAUCGACCACAGAAGCCCCGUUUUCUUUUUCUUUUUUGUCUUUUCUAGGGUCGCACCUAUGGCAUAUGGAGGUUCCCAGGCUAGGGGUUGAAUCGGAGCUACAGCUGUCGGCCACAGCAAUGCCAAAUCCUUAACCCGCUGAGCGAGGCCAGGGAUCCAACCUGCAACCUCAUGGUUCCUAGUUGGGUUGUUAACCACUGAGCCACAAUGGGAACUCCCAAGAAGGACGUUUUCGUAAACUGAGAAGGAAGACCCCUCCAGCCAAGACUCCCUGCUCAGCCUCAUGGCUACCAGCUGGACUGUCCUUGCUUCUCUCAAGUCUCAGUUCCCAACUAGAGAGACACCAACGUCUGCUGGCACAAGGCAUAGCACUGUUUGUUCUCGCUUGGUGUUUACCUUACAAUAUAAUCACCGUUACGAUAAUCACAACCACCCAUUUCCCACACUCUACUCUCACCAACCACAGUCUGUCACACCGGGCUGAGUUCUAGAGGUAGAAGAACGCGGGGAGAUCACAACACAGUCACCAGCCUGAGCCCUUCUCCCCACUGUCACCCCAGGCCUAUGGCCUAGACUGGUAAUCCCAGCCAACUACCUCUUGACUGCAGAAUUUUCUCAGCCCUGACAGGACUGACUGGGAUGGGCAUUCUUCUCUGGAUGCUUAGCCUUGGCUGGUGGCCUGGACAAGAAAUUUUUCAGACCUAGUUAGUACCUGUGCUUGCAAGACCUCAAAUCUGGCCACUCCUUUUCUCUCAGUUCUAAAGAGGCAGGUAGCUCAGGUGGAAGACAGCCUGCAAUGUCCCCUAUGAGACUGGAACAAAGAGCCCAAGACGAAUUUUUUCACUUAUGCAGGUCCUCUAAGGGCAGCCUCAGGGCCUCAUGGUGGUAAAAGGCCAUGCCCCAGUUCUGGGAGGCAGGAGCCAGAAACCUCCACUGGCCUGGCCCCUACUCCAGGUAGCCUCAGAGCCUUCUCUCAGAAGACUCAGGAGUUCCCAUCGUGGCUCAGUGGAAACAAAUCUGACUAGCAUCCAUGAAGAUGGAGGGUCGAUCCCUGGCCUGGCUCAGUGGGUUAAGGAUCCUGCGUGGCUGUGGCAUGGGCCAGCGCCUACAGCUCCAAUUUGACCCCUAGCCUGGGAACCUCCAUAUGC